GUUGCAGUUAUAGCUCCAUCCUUCGUGAAGUUGCUACUCGCAGCAAGGCUUUUAAUAGAGAUGCCCAUAAUCUUGUUAAAAGCGCUGCGUCACUUGAAGACGGCCGAUUCACUUGGCUUAUCCAGCCUUGGGAUGACUCUGGUAUAACAAUGUCUAUUGAUUAAUAAAGGCCGGUCUUUCGCUCAAAAAAAAAACUUUUAUGUCUGUCUGCGCUAAAAAAAACUGUUAUGUCUGUCUCUUCCUUUCUCUCUCUGUAUAUGUCCCUGUUUAUUCAGAACUAGCAAUAACACACCUCUUUUAGUUACCAUAUAUUUCUAGUCGGGUCAAUUUCAGCACUGCUCUUUUCAAUUGCACC
RNAcentral lists this long non-coding RNA (355 nucleotides) under Brachypodium distachyon (stiff brome). RNAcentral's name for it is "long non-coding RNA (BDIS_LNC000972)". Lineage: Eukaryota; Viridiplantae; Streptophyta; Magnoliopsida; Poales; Poaceae. The record is from RNAcentral.